Long non-coding RNA from Etheostoma cragini (Arkansas darter), 135 nucleotides. RefSeq lists it as uncharacterized. The record is from RefSeq and is a predicted model, not a curated record. The transcript has 3 exons. Lineage: Eukaryota; Metazoa; Chordata; Actinopteri; Perciformes; Percidae.
UUUUUAAAGGGAUGAGCCAACCUUUCCUCUGAAACUUCACGUGAAUUUGUCAGCUGUAUGAGCGGAGUUAGCACUGGCUUUCAGCUGCAUGGCUUCCGGGAAGACUGCUCUCAUGUAUCCUCGCUUAGCUCCUCA